GUCUGGUGCCAGCAGCCGCGGUAAUUCCAGCUCCAAUAGCGUAUAUUAAACUUGUUGCAGUUAAAAAGCUCGUAGUUGAAUUUUUGCGUCACCGUGUAUCGACAUUUGUCGUUUAUCGGUUUCGCUUUUGGGAUUUAUCCCUUUUUACUUUGAGAAAAUUAGAGUGUUUCAAGCAGACUUUUGUCUUGAAUACUUCAGCAUGGAAUAAUAGAGUAGGACUUUGGUUCUAUUUUGUUGGUUUGUGAACCUUAGUAAUGGUUAAUAGGAACGGUUGGGGGCAUUCGUAUUUAACUGUCAGAGGUGAAAUUCUUAGAUUUGUUAAAGACGAACUACUGCGAAAGCAUUUGCCAAGGACGUUUUCAUUAAUCAAGAACGAAAGUUAGGGGAUCGAAGACGAUCAGAUACCGUCGUAGUCCUA
RNAcentral lists this ribosomal RNA (418 nucleotides) under Babesia odocoilei. Its description in RNAcentral is "SSU rRNA". It matches the Rfam family "Eukaryotic small subunit ribosomal RNA", at positions 559 to 1028 of the family's 1831-position model. Lineage: Eukaryota; Apicomplexa; Aconoidasida; Piroplasmida; Babesiidae. The record is from RNAcentral.